Molecule: long non-coding RNA, 330 nt
Filed under: Lathyrus oleraceus (garden pea)
Lineage: Eukaryota; Viridiplantae; Streptophyta; Magnoliopsida; Fabales; Fabaceae
Description: Pisum sativum (pea) long non-coding RNA (PSAT_LNC011502)
Source: RNAcentral
AGAAGAGGGGCAUCUGGUGGAUCUGGCCAAGUUGUUUGACCAGGUUGAGACAACUCAGGCUGAGGUUGAGUCUGAAUCAGUGCACUUGUGGAGUGCUGUCCGGUAAACUGCUGAGGUUUAUUAUGAGUGGAUAAGAGGAAUCCAGGUCGAUCCUGCUAAAAAAAAUGAAAAAAGAAAAGAAAAAAAAGGUAAAAAGAAAGAAAGAAAAGAAAAGAAAAGGAAAAAGCAAUGCAAGAAAGGCCUGAACCGAAACAAAAAAACAAAACAAGAGAGCAAACGGUCAGGUGGAUAUUGCCAAGGGGCAUUGAAAAAAGAAUAAGUUGCAGGAAC